Molecule: ribosomal RNA, 497 nt
Filed under: uncultured bacterium
Lineage: Bacteria
Description: partial 16S ribosomal RNA
Rfam family: Bacterial small subunit ribosomal RNA
Source: RNAcentral
GAUGAACGCUGGCGGCGUGCCUAAUACAUGCAAGUCGAGCGAACGGACGAGAAGCUUGCUUCUCUGAUGUUAGCGGCGGACGGGUGAGUAACACGUGGAUAACCUACCUAUAAGACUGGGAUAACUUCGGGAAACCGUAGCUAAUACCGGAUAAUAUUUUGAACCGCAUGGUUCAAAAGUGAAAGACGGUCUUGCUGUCACUUAUAGAUGGAUCCGCGCUGCAUUAGCUAGUUGGUAAGGUAACGGCUUACCAAGGCAACGAUGCAUAGCCGACCUGAGAGGGUGAUCGGCCACACUAGAACUGGGACACGGUCCAGGCUCCUACGAGAGGCAGCAGUAGGGAAUCUUCGGCAAUAGGCGAAAACCUGACGGAGCAGCGCCGCGUGAGUGAUGAAGGUCUUCGGAUCGUAAAACUCUGUUAUUAGGGAAAAACAUAUGUGUAAGUAACUGUGCACAGCUUGACGGUACCUAAUCAGAAAGCCACGGCUAACUACGUG